This is a small nucleolar RNA of Ailuropoda melanoleuca (giant panda), 134 nucleotides long. The record is from Ensembl. Lineage: Eukaryota; Metazoa; Chordata; Mammalia; Carnivora; Ursidae.
AGCCUCGUUCUCCAUGAGAACUGGCACUGCUGGUUGUGGUGUCUAGAAAUUCUUACUGUGGCUAAACUGAGACACAGAAAGUGUUACCUCCCAGGAAAUGUAUUGCAAUGGUGAUGAUGAGACCUGUAAUUUUU